CCUACGGGUGGCAGCAGUAGGGAAUAUUGCACAAUGGGCGAAACCCUGAUGCAGCAACGCCGCGUGCAGGAUGAAGGUUUUCGGAUUGUAAACUCCUUUUGUUAGGGAAGAUAAUGUCGGUUUCUAACGAAUAAGCACCUGCUAAAACCUUGCCAGCAGCCGCGGUGAUACGGUGGGCGCAAGCGUUACUCGGAAUCAAUGGGGGUAAAGUGCGCGGAGGCGGGACAGCAAGGCAGAUGUGAAAUCCUAUGGCUUAACCAUAGAACUGCAUUUGAAACUGGUAAUCUAGAGUCUGGGAGAGGUAGGUGGAAUUCUUGGUGAAGGGGUGAAAUCCGUAGAGAUCAGGAGGAAUACUCAUUGCGAAGGCGACCUGCUGGAACAUAACUGACGCUGAGGCGCGAAAGCGUGGGGAGCAAACAGGAUUAGAUACCCGAGUAGUC
Molecule: ribosomal RNA, 440 nt
Filed under: uncultured bacterium
Lineage: Bacteria
Description: partial 16S ribosomal RNA
Rfam family: Bacterial small subunit ribosomal RNA
Source: RNAcentral